RNAcentral lists this ribosomal RNA (24 nucleotides) under Acrostalagmus sp. r145. RNAcentral's name for it is "partial 28S ribosomal RNA". Lineage: Eukaryota; Fungi; Ascomycota; Sordariomycetes; Glomerellales; Plectosphaerellaceae. The record is from RNAcentral.
CUGACCUCGGAUCAGGUAGCAACC